GAAUUUUCUUUGCUUCAACGUGUUGCUUCGUAUGUCCGUUAAAACAGCUGGAGGCUGUGGAGCAACCCAUUGUUCAAAUCUUAGGAAUGUACAAUUAUUUUCUAUCGUUGUGGCAAAGUAUACAAGUUGAAUAAAAACAUGGUUGAAGGAGUUCAAGUGAUGCAAUUUCAUUGGUGGGUUUCAAGGGUUGAACGCUUAAGUGCCCCUGACACCCUUAUUUCAUUAAUCAUCUAAAUAUUCGUGUGGAAUGAUAUAGAUUUUUUUUUUUUGAACGGCGAAGCAUCUAUAUAAUAAUGUAGAACCGGGCCAGCAAGAAGCUGAAAAAUCUGAAGGGCUUACAAGACAAUGUCAAGUAAACUGAAAUCACACCAUCUACCCCAAUUUAAACUAGCAUACUUUGAUCUACAAUUAAUCCGAAAGAAAGAUUGCUCCUUUAUUUGCUCCACCGUCUAAUUGAGUGGGACGUAUCUGUUGAAGUCCAUCUCGUUCAUUGCUUUCCAGAUCUCCCAUUUGAUGGUUAAGAGGAUUGCGUCGAUAAGUUUUUUCCACAUCUUUAACCCGUCAAUAUUCUCCACUUUGGAGACCAACUCCAGCAUAUUGAUUUUCAAGUUUCAACCCUUCGGACCCAUUCCCCUUUUAUUAGUCUAAGUAAAACACAACCUAAGUUGUCUUAUUCAUAAAUUGUUGUUUAGAAAUUUCAACCUUUUUUAUUUCAAGUACUAGAAACAUUUUAAACCACAAAUUUCUUAUCUAGAUAAUACUUCACUUAACAUCUUUUCAUCAUCAAUAGUUCACUUGAGCUUCAAUUUGUGACUUCAGUAUUAGACAUAUUAACAUUAGAUAAUUAAUUUGUUUUAUUUCAAUAUAGUGUAAAGAAAUUAUACUUAAAAACACAAGUAUUUUGUUUCUUAAAUUUUUUGUUUUGAUUGAAGACAACAAUACUUAAAAGGAAAAAUAUCAAAUAAUUUUCAAAACGCACGGCUAGGUAAUUACCAAAGCUUUAUGAAGAACAAAAGUAAACAAGAUAAUUGUCAAAGAUUUAUGAAUAACAAAAGUAAACAAUUAUGUAACCCUAAGUAUAUAGUCAUGAAAUAUUUGGGGUUUGAAAAGACUAAGAUGCCAAACUACAUAGUAAAUCAAUGCAUGUCAAAGACGUAAUAUUUCAUAUAAAUGCAUAAUUUGUGUCAAUCCUAAAUAGAAGAACUCAAUUGGAGACUUGAUGACCAAAACCAAAUUUUUAGUAGCUUAGAAAAUAAAAAUUUAUUUAAGAUUUAUUUUAGUUGUUUCGUGUUAGUUAAUAAAAAAGUUUGGGUGGGGAGUUGGGUCCAACUGUUAAAGUCAUUCAAUUUAAGGUGUUGCUCUCCUUGAGGUUAAAGGUUACCCCGUCAAAGACUGAUUUGGUGUAAUUUAAUCUUCUAAUAAAGAGGUUUUAUUUCUUGUUACACUCUCUAUCUUUCAUCCUAAUUAUCAAAAUUUGGGCAUUAUUUACAUGCAUAAAAAAUAUGAAUCUUUACAAAGGAUGUGCUUUAUUUAAAUUGAAUUUUUGGGUUGUAAGCAUGCAAUAAUUAGGAUUUAUAAACUUAGUACUUUUUUGUAUGUAUGUGUUUGGAAAUACAUAAGGAAAGAUGUUACAAAACUUACAAGUCUUAAGGCAUUUUCUACCAAAAUACGACUUUCCACCAAUGAUGUAUUGAUGUGAUCCUACCGAAGAAUGCUACAAACUGAGAGUUGCUACCAAGAGUUAAUUUGUGUUCCUAGAGCUUUUAUACCAACGAAGAAGAUAAAGAUGAAUGUAAUUAUCUUUGUAUUUGAAUCUAUUGUGUUAUUAUAUGUUUUGAUAAGACCAAAUCAAUUGAUUGUAAACUUAUUAUUUGAUUUUAAACAACACACAAUUCAUAUA
Molecule: long non-coding RNA, 1900 nt
Organism: Helianthus annuus (common sunflower)
Lineage: Eukaryota; Viridiplantae; Streptophyta; Magnoliopsida; Asterales; Asteraceae
Exons: 2
Source: RefSeq, a predicted model, not a curated record